RNAcentral lists this long non-coding RNA (274 nucleotides) under Marmota monax (woodchuck). The record is from RNAcentral. Lineage: Eukaryota; Metazoa; Chordata; Mammalia; Rodentia; Sciuridae.
AAUAGGACUUCCUGAUUAUUUGGUGAAAGAAUGAAAGAGUAAGACAGACCUGAGAUAAACUUCUAGUAGCCACAGUAAACAAAGUAGAAACAGGCCUUCUUUCCACGGAACCAGUCUGCUUUUAUGAAGAAAAGACAAACGUAGAAAGAAUGGUGACUGACUACCAGGCAAAUUAUUACCAGGAUUCAGUGACCUUUGAUGAUGUGGCUGUGGAGUUCACCCUAGAGGAGUGGACUUUACUGGACACAACUCAGAGAAACCUAUACAAAGAUGU